Molecule: long non-coding RNA, 35150 nt
Filed under: Populus tremula
Lineage: Eukaryota; Viridiplantae; Streptophyta; Magnoliopsida; Malpighiales; Salicaceae
Description: long non-coding RNA (PTRE_LNC001588)
Source: RNAcentral
AUGCAAAUUGAUAGGAAAUUAUCUGCCAUCGUCUGAAGCAAUCGCUGUAUCGAUGCUUAUUUCUUGUUUACUUGAAGAUGAAGCUGUGCCAGAAAGGCCUGUUCCUUGUUUACUUGAACAAGAAGCUGUGCCAAAAAGGCCUCUCUCUUGUUCACUUGAAGCAAAAGCUGUGCCAGAAAGGCCUCUUCGUAUAAAAAAGGCUGGGUUCUUAGGAACCGGCAAGUCUGCAGUUUCACUGCUAAGCAUCACAACAACAUUCGACAUGGUCGGACGGUCGGAUGGAUCAUCUUGUACGCAUAAGAGUGCAGCAUUUACACACCUCAGAAACUCAUUGGUGUUGCAAAUCUCACGUAAUGUCUCGUCCAUUAAAUCCAAUGCCUUGUCUUCUCUCCAUAAUCUCCAAGCCUGGAAUUUUGAAGUUUAAGUCAGCAUCGCUUAUCAAAUGAUAAAACAUUAUAUUAGCACCGUUGAACUUACAUAAGCUAGAAGGCUUUGGGCUUCAUCAGAAUUAAAAUAUCCCGUGUUCCUUUUCCCGCUAAGAAUCUCAAGUACAACGACGCCGAAACUAAAAACAUCAGAUUUGACAGAGAAUAGGCCAUCUAAUGCGUACUCUGGCGACAUGUAGCCACUGCAUUACAACAAUUUUCACUAGAAUCAGUAACUCAGCUGGAUUCAGACACCUAAUUCAGCAUUAACCAUGACAUGAUUGUAGGAUUGGAGGCUGCAAAAAGAGAGUGUUUGCAUAUGAAUGUAUGUCUGAUGAAUAUCAAUGUUGAUAGGAUCUGAAACUUACUAGGUUCCAACAACUCUGUUUGUGCUCCCUUCGGUUUGUUUGCCUUCGAACAUCCUUGCCAAUCCAAAGUCAGAAAUUUUUGGAUUCAUUUCCGCAUCUAAUAAAAUGUUGCUCGUUUUCAUAUCACGAUGAAUAAUCCUGAGUCUAGAAUCUUGGUGGAGGUAAAGAAGACCUCUAGCAACUCCUAAAAUGAUAUCAAAGCGCGUCUCCCAAUUCAGUAACAUUCCCAGAUCUCGAUCUUCAGAGGUUUUCCAUUUCCAUGAGAACAAAAAUUAGCAACCAUGGGUGCUGCAAACGUACAUUUAUAAAACAAAAAUGAUGAAUCUGUUUAGAGACUAACCAAAUAUGAAGGAAUCUAAGCUUUUGUUAGGCAUAUAUUCAUAGAGUAAGAUCUUUUCAUCUCCUUUUAUGCAGUAACCUACUAGUCUGACAAGAUUCCGAUGCUGCAAUCUAGCAAUCAAAAUCACCUCAUUCUUAAACUCCUCUAGGCCUUGUCCUGAAACACUAGAGAGUCGUUUUAUUGCGAUUUCUUGACCUCCUGGAAAUUUUCCCUGAAACCAAAGUUGCCAUGCAGGUAAAAUUCAGCCAGAAAACUUGUCAGACACAAAAAUUCCAAUGAUUAACGUAAAUAUUACUUUGUAAACAGGUCCGAAGCCCCCUCUUCCAAGCUUGUUUGCUUCUGAAAAAUAAUCCGUAGCUGCUAGUAUGCUGUCUAAAUCAAAGAAAGGUACAUCUAUGCCCUUCUUAUCUUCUUCGUUGAACUCUUCUGCAUCCAUCAAGUUCUUGACCCGUUUCUCAGUGCCAUACAAAACAGCUGCAUUUCUUUCAGUAUUUUGCUGGCUUUCUGAAAUUUCAAGAAGACAACUGCUAAUUACUUGAGGAAUCCCUUAAAAAGUUCAAUACCACCUUACACGUGGAAAAUUUGUCUAGUUACCUCGUCGUUUGGCCUUCUUUCUCAUCAAAAUGCAGAUGUAAAGGAAGAUGCUUGAUAGAACUAUGACAGUAGCAAUUGCAACUCCUACAAUCAAAGACAAUGGUUUCUUUCCUCCUGCUUGUCCAUCGAAAACUUCAAGAAAGAAAGGGGGUAUGCGCAUUAUAAUAAAUUAAACUGGAUGAAACUUAUGGUUUUCACUACUUUUGCAGUUUGAGGCAAGAUAUAGAGUGCUCACCAUGAACGCAAUUUAGAGCAUUGCCAUCCCACCAAAAAUUUGAAUUGCAGAGGCAUCUCGCUGUGCCAUUUCCUUUUUUAUUGCAAGUUGAAUUUGACCAAUCGUCGCAGUCUGAAGACGAAGAGCAGACUGGCUCUUGAGGUGGCUCCCAACCAAUAACUAUUUCUACCAGACCUUGAGAUGAAACAUUGGAAUCACACCAGCGUUUAGAGGCGUUCAUCUUAAAUGGAAAUGACGUGUUGAACUUCCGAAUUUGACCUCUUGUACUGGCAUUACAAUCAUCUACAUCUUUCUCUUGGAUAACAAAUGUUCUUGUAUCUUGAUUGAUGGUAGUGACAUUAUAGGUGCUGUUGUGUGUCUUAAAGCUGAGUUUUCCUGUGGACUUAUCGCAGUAGAAACUGGAGUACAUGGGGUCACCACAAUCUGAUCCAUUACUUAGAGGAUAAGGAAUCACAUUUAUGCCACAAGGCUCACAACUUUUAGCCUUUGAUUCUGCAAAACAUGGAGCUUUUUUUAAGGUAUGAACAGUACUGAUAUUUAGUUCAGUUAUGAAUUAAGUCCACUGCUUGUGUGCAAUCUUCUAUCGAGAAAUUUCCUUGACGUAAUUACAGCAUCUUGUAGUAACAAAAGGAGAAAGAACAAGUCGAAAGAAGGAAGUACCUAUGUCAGCAAUAGGGACACGACAAAGAGAUCCAGCCCAUCAUAAGAAUAUUCCUCCUGGAGAUCUUUAAGAUCAUCCAUCCAGAUCGAGCAGUGUUGUUGCCAGGUUGUCUGUCCCUUCGCUAUUGACUUCCCUUCACAAAGGAAUAAGCUGGGCAUUGGCACUUAUCGAGACACUCCUCUCUGCAUUUCUUUUCAUCCUCAACCACAAAUGAAGUGUAUGCUGUCCAACUCUCAUCAUCUUCAAGCUCAAGAAGGUGUCAUUCUUCCCACAUCCGGCAGCGCUUCUGAUGCAACCACCAGAGAAACUCCCAUUCCUCCAAUUUUCCUGUGAUAGGCUCAAAUCCUGGCAAACCUGCAAGCCAACUAUUGUAUAGAUUGCAGCUGCCGAAGUUCCCACAGGCAUUAAGCACACUGCAUUUGUCUCUCGGCUCAAACCAUUGCAAAGACCAAUUUGUAUACACAUCGAAGUUCCAGUAUUGUAGCUCCCCUUUAACAUCCAACCUAAUCCUUGUUAUUAUAAUCUGAGGGUGAUCGAGUUGUGCUGCUUUUUGGAACAGAUCUGGUGAAGUUCGAUAGAAAAAUAUGCUAUUCCAUCAGGCAUUCUUUCUGAGCUAAAGAAAUCACUUGACUUCCACUACUGCCAUCGGAGAUAGCAAACUGGUCCGUUUCUUCAUCUAGCUGAAAUGUGAAGUUACCUUCUUGUGGAUCAACUUCACUUUUCCAUGACGUCAAAUUUAGAUCCCCACUCAUCUUCAUACCUGGAAGAAAUGUAUCAGUUGGAUGGUCAAAGCUUUGCCAUAGAAUAGUUGCCAAAAGGGUAUUACUAUCACACAAAACCAAGUUCCCAGAAUCUAAGAGCUUAGCCAACCCAUUCGCUGGUUUUGAUGUUGAUUCAAGCCCUGUAGACCAAAAAGGAUCUCCGUUUUUAUCCAAAAUCUUGAGGUUUCCAUCAUCUGUGACAGCCAAAACUGCUCCAUCAUCAAGAAGUGGGCGGUCUCGAUUGGCAACCCACACAACUAUUCGUGGAUUCGACCUGUAAUACCAAAUUCCUACGUAGCUUUUGUUUCGUUCAGGAGUAAAGAACCCCAGUUCAAACCUUUUUCCUGCUGAAACAAGAGUUUCUCCACCAUGUUAUAAAUUACCUGCUUAAGUGUGAUGGUAUCUCUAGCAAAGCAACAUAAAAGGGAGGAGCAUAAUAAGAAUGCAUAAGAAAAGAAAACGGUUGAUAGCAUGCUAUGCAUUGCACAUAGAUCUCUCUGGUUAAGACCUCUUCUUACCAUCAACCAUGAAUGUAUCACUCAAGUCAACUGCAAAGCAAAUUUUCACUGCACUUGUUCUGUGUUGACGCUGACCAUAAAGGAAGGGAGAUGAUGCUUUACUAAACUUAGAUUAAUUUAGAAUAGUUAAUCAUUUGAACACCACAACAUUUUCCUAGUCAUCGACAAAAAAUUAAUACAUUGUAACGUUGUAGUGUUUAUUUUGUAAAAUAUUUUUUAUUUAAAAAUAUAUUAAAAUAAUAUUUUUAUUAUUUUUAAAAAUUAUUUUUGAUAUUAAAAAUUAAUUUUAAAUAAAAAAAUUAUAAUUUAAUGAGAAACACAAUUUAAAACAAUUUUGUUAUCUCCGAUAGAGUUGCCGUAGUGGGGUGGUAAUGAAGAUAGCAACAGUGAUGAUAACAAUGUAUGUAGUGAUGAUGAUAAGAUUUUGAUGGUUAAGAUUAUUUGAUGAUUUUGUGUGUAAAUUAUUAUUUAAAAAAGUUUAAAAAAUAUUUUAUUUUGUUAAAUAUUUUUUUGAAAACAAAUUCCUUCUUAAACUACCCAUAAAUAAUUAAAUUGCUUGCUGCAGGCGUGUUCUUUUCUUUUACAAGUCUUGGCUCUCCUUUCCCACGCAAUUUUCUGUGGCAACAAGGGCCCGUCAAGGCAUUUUUCAACUAUAUGCAUUCAUGCUUUCAUGUCCACUCGUUCUGUAAGUAUAUCCCUCAUUUUGACAAAACCCACUAUUUCCAUCCUAUAUUUUUACCAACUUGUCAAAAGAGUCCCUCCAUUAUUAAUUUGGUCAAUUGAGCAUAUGUUUUUUCAAUUUCAGUCAAUUGAGUAAAAUUUUCCGAAAUUAAAGAUUUAUCUCUAUCAAUUGAGAAUUCUUCUUCACAACCUUAGUCAUUCUCAAGAACUUUUUUGUCAUUCUUGAAAUAUCAUCAUUCAUCUCAUCCUUCCUAUUGAGUAAAAGUUUUUUUUUCAAUUUAGAUCACUAAUACUCAAUUGAUUGAAAUGAAAAUUAUAGAUACUCAAUUAACCAAAUUGAUAGCAUGGGAGAUUUUUUUUUCUUAAUUGAUAAUGGAUUUAGCACUUUAGAUUGAUCGUUGUUAGUCAUCAAAAUUGACAAUAACCUUAUUACACUCGAUCUGGGAUUGACCUGAUGAAGGAAUGGAGUUGCAGGUUACAUGGGUCAACUCAAACAAAUUAAAAAAAAUUAAAAUUUUAAUAUUUUAUAUAUAUAAAAAAACAAUUCAUAUGAAUAUACACUAUAUAUGCUGUAAAUAAUAAAGUUUAAAAGAAUAUAUCAAAAAGUUUUUUAUCCCACAUUUUAAAAAAAAACAUAAUUUUUUUUUUGUGAACAUAAAAUAGAUAUAUUAAAGGGCUUCAAAUCUCACAUUGAAAAAAUAAUUUUUUUUCUUUGGAACAUAGAGUAUUAUACAAAAUACUAAAAGGGGUCAGUGCAUCUGUUACUGUGGAUUGAAGCAGUGUAAUGACAGACCAACCCUUGUCACAAAGAGUUGCAAGGGCAGCGGGGAGGGGUGGGGUUGUCUUUCUGCUGGGAUGCAUUUGGCAUUGAAAUGAUGGCUAGGAAGAAAAUGGUUAGCUCAAGUUUUGGUGUGGCUACAGGCCCUGGGAUGCGAACACCUGACGCUUGGGUUGCCCUACCUGUACGCUGGGUCAAACCCGCACGCCCACGUGGCGCUGAGGCUGGCUUGCCCUGUGUUCAAGGCUAAUGGGUCCUGCAUCAGAACCCAAUUUUCUUGGGUUCUUUGUCAGGACCCAAGCCUAUUGGGUCUUAGGUUUCUAAAUAUAAUUAUUUUCGUUAUAAAUAUUAUAAUUUUUAUUAUAGUUGAAAGUAUUAAUAUCAAACAUAUUAUAAUUUGUGUUCUAAAUAUUAUUAGUUUAAUUAUAAUAAAAAUAAUAAUAUUUAUACCCCAAAUAAUAGUAUUGUUGAUAUGAAUACUUUGAAUUAUACUAAAAAUCAUAAUAUUCAUAACACAAAUAAUACUAUUUUUAAUAUUAAUACUUUCAAUUAUAAUAAUAAAAAAUUUUGUAUAGCAAAUAAUAAUAUUUAUACCACAAACAAUACUAUUUUUAGAAUUAAUACGUUCAAUGAUAAUACAAAUACAAAUCUUUGUACCACAAAUAAUAAUAUUUUUUAUAUUAAUACUUUGAACUACAAUAAAAAUAAAUAUUAAUACUUUUAAUUAUAAUAAAAAUAAUAAUAUUUAUACCAAAAUAAUAAUAUUUAUACCAAAAUAAUAAUAUUUAUACCACAAAUAAUACUAUUUUGAAUAUUAAUACUUUCAAUGAUAUAAAAAUAAUAAUCUUUAUACCACAAAUAAUAAUAUUUUUGAUAUUCAUGCUUUGAACUAUAAUAGAAAUAUUAAUAUUUAUAACAUAGAUAAUAGUAUUUUUAAUAUUAAUACCUUCAAUUAUAAUAAAAAUAAUAAUAUUUAUGGCACAAAUAAUAAUAAUAAUAAUAAUAAUAAUUUUUAAUUUUAUCCUUCAAAUCAACUUUAUGAUUUUUUUUUGUGGUUAUUAUUAUUAUAUUAUAUAUAAAGCUAAAUCAUGUGGGAAAAGUCAUGUUUAUCAAGACUCAUUGCACUGUGAAUUGCACAUUUGGUAGGGGCAUGGUGUGUUGCAGCCCCAGACAUAGACACUUGGCGCAAGGGCAUUCAUACCUAGCCACAAAGAUUUCCAAAGAUGCAGAGGGAGAGGUUGCGCUUCAAGUUUCGGACACCUGGCGCUGGGGGCAAACCCGUGAGCUUGGCUUUCCACCCAUGUAAAACCUCUGGGUGAAAAAUUAUAAAUUGACUAGUUUCAUGUAAAACAAAAGAAAAAAUUUGUAACUCUCGAUCGGGUUAUUGGAAAAUUCUGAAAAUUUGCGUGGAGCCUUCUGAUAUGAUAUCUUAGCUUGGGUUAAAAUUUUAGAAGUUUUAGAGAAAUUCAGAAAAUUUGACAAAAAAUCACAAUUUGACUAGUUUUACGUUAUUUGAUGUAAUAUAUUUGUUUUAUAUGUAAUUUGUAUUAUACGUAGAUUGUAGUGUAUGUAUAAUGAAGAUGUUUGCUUUUGGUAUUUAUAUAUUUAAAAAGUAUGAGUAAGGAACUACUAUUAUUAAACUAUUCGAAAAUAAUAUUUUAAGUUUAUAAUUGUUUGUAGUUAAUGUUUUAUUUGUAGAUGAUGUAAGGUUGAGAAAAAUACAAUGAAGUAUAGUUAUGUGGAAUAUUGUAUGACAAGAUGGGAUUUGAUCCAGGAUGGUUGGAUCAAAGUGAAAGUUUUGAGUAUUGUAAUUGAAUGAAGUAUAGUCGAUAACUUGGUAACAUGAGAAAACAAAGGACACUCCGUUGAAAUUUUCAAAAAAAAAAAAAAUCUUAUAAUCUUAGACAUAUUAUUCAAUACUCGAUAUUAGUAAAGAAAUGUUUAAGAUUUCAUGAAAUAAUAAUUUGAGGGUGUUACAACCCAAGUCAGCGGUUCUGCUAACCUGUGUGUUGGGUCUGGACAUGGACCCCCUUCUGUUGGGUCAAGCAUCUUGACCUAAAUCACUUGGGUUUGGACAUGGAUCCAACCCCCUUAGAUCCAAACAUGACCCAAUCCCCAACCCUCUACGGUCUGGACGUGGAAGGACCCAAACUCCUUGGGUCCGGACCUAGUAGAACCUAAACCCCAACCUCUUGGGUCCGAACACGGCCCCAUCCCCAACCCCUUUGGGUCUGGACAAGGACCCAUCCCCCAACCUCCUUCAGUCCCCACCCCACUUAACCCCCAACCCCUCUGGGUCCGGACACGGACCCAACCCCCAACCCCCAUGGGGUCUGGACAUAGAAGGACUCAAACCCCAAACCCCUAGGUUCGAACAUCGAAGGAUCCAAACCCCAACCCCCUAGGUCCGGACACAGCCCAAUUCCCAACUCUUUGGUUCCGGCUACGAACCCAAACCCUAAGUCCUUUGGGUCUGGACAUAGACCCAUCCCCUAACCCCUUUGGGUCCUCACCCCGCCAAACCCCCAACCCCCUUGGGUCUGAACACGACCCAAUCCCCAACUCUCUUAGGUCCGGUCACGAACCCAACCUCCUUCAGUCCUCACACCCCGCCUAACCCUUAUUCCCCAACCCCUUUGAGUUCGAGCACGAACCUAACUCCUCUUGAAUUCGGACAUGGAAGGAUCUAAAUCCCUUGGGUUCGGACACCAAAGAACCCAAACCCCAACCCCAUGAGUCCGGACACGGACCGAACCCCCUUGGUAUUGUUCCACCAAUAUAACAACGUUAUCUUUUUACAAUUUAUAAAGACAAUAACAUGCACAUUUUUUGUUGUGCAGAAUUUCAAGGCAUAAGCCAACAUGUAUGUUGAUAUAGCUGCCGAAAAAGCUACAUCUUAUUACUUAUUUUUGUAUUAAAAAACAUUUAAAAGCUCUUGUUCAUUUCCAUCUGUUUAAUCAUAAAGCUUUUGUAUUAAUGUUUUUAUUGUUUGGUUUGUUGGUGUACUACAACAACAUAUAUUACUACUUUAUAUAUUGUGUCUUCUAGCUAUGUCAAACCUUGCAUCAUGCAGUAAAAAUAUUAAAUCUUAUUUUGGAAUUAACAAAAUCUAUUACAUGCUUCAAUCUUAGAAUAUGUUUUUUUUUUCACGUCUAUUUUUAACCGUUUGGUUAGGGGCUUUUAUUUUUUCCUUUAAAAAAAAUAAACAAGGUGCUAAGACUUUGUUACUAUUAGAAAAAAAAAACAUGAAUUUGAUUGUAACCAUAAAAUUAAAAACUAUAAAAACUUAGAAAAUAAAUAAAUUUGAACCCAUGCUAUUUUAAACACAAAUAUUUUUAUAAUACCAUUUUAAAAAAUAUAUUAUUUUUUGUCUUUUAAAAUAUUUAUAACAUAAAUAAUAUUAUUUUUAAUAUUAAUACCUUCAAUUAUAAUAAUAAUAAUACUUUUAAUUUUAUCCUUCAAAUCAACUAUAUGAUUUUUCUUUGGUUAUAAUAAUAUUUUAUUUCAAAUUUAUUAAUGACAAUAAUGAUAAUAAGAACAACAAUUUAUACUUUUACCCUUCAAAUAGAUAUUGCGUCAGGAUCCAAUGUUAAUAAGCCUUUGUUAGUAUCCAAUUCGCUUGGAUUCUGCACCAGGAUCCAAUGGUAAUGGGUCCUGCACAUCCAAUGUUAAUAAGCCUUUGUUAGUAUCCAAUUCGCUUGGAUUCUGCACCAGGAUCCAAUGGUAAUGGGUCCUGCACAGGACCCAAGAAUGGAUCCUCGCCAGGAUCCAGAUAAUUUGUGUUAUAAAUAUUCUUUGUUUUUUUUAAUAUAAUAAUUUGUGAUAUAAAUAUUAUUAUUUGUCUUAUAAUUCAAAGUGUUCAUAUCAAAAAUAUUAUUAUUUAUGUUAUAAAUAUUAUUAUUUUUAUUAUAACUCAAAGUAUUGAUAUAAAAAAUAUUAUAUGUCCAUUCCAUCUUUUCUAAUUGGUCCAUGCACAUACAGAUACAGUAGGAAGUUGUUUUAAUGUUUUAAAAAAGUAAAUAAAUUGGGUUUUAACUUAAUCACCUAGGUUUUAUCUAAUUAAUUCCCACAUUAUUUUUUUAAACCUAACCUGCGCUGAGCCGAGUUUAACAACAUUAUCACUAACUAGUUGUAAGCAAAUGGAGGAGUGAUUAUUAAGAAUAUGCCUGGCAAGCAAAUUUGCUAAGGCACUUGUUCAUACAGUCAUUUUCAUCUGAGUAGCCAGGUUCAGCAUCAGGCUUUCCUGCUUUCAUCGAUUUUAACUCCAAGAAGUUCUGAACCACAUCGUUGCAGCACAAAGGUGACAUUCUUUCACACCCCUCUGAAAAGUUUCCUAAUUUCCAAUUAUCGGGAGACUUAGACUAUUGCAACUACCAGAAGUCCCACAAGCAUCAAAUACACUGCAUCGAUCACUUGGUUCCCGCCAGUUCAAAGUCCAAUUCGCGUUUCUCCAGAGGAAAAACUGUAUCUGCCCAUUGAACACCAGUCUUGUAUUCUUAUAAUUCACAGCUGUUGAAUUUAUUCUAUUAUAAGGACUUUCCUCUGUAGUUGUUGUGUUCCCAAGAGGUCUGCUUGGUUUCCUGCUGGAAUUCAUGAGCAAGUUAGAAACAAGCCAGAGCCUUUCGUCGGAUCUUACAAAACUUCCUGAAACUCCACUUUUCCAGUACGGAAUCGAUCCGUUCUUCAUGAUGAUGUACUGGUUUUCUCUUUCAUCAAGCUGAAAUUUGAAGUCUCCUGGUGCUGGGUCACUGGGACUCUUCCAAGAAGUCAACAUAAAGUUCUUGUUUGUCUUCAUUCCAGGAAGAAAUGUGUCAGUUGGAUAAUCGAAGCUUUGCCACAAUAUUGCUGAACCAUUUGCAGCUUCUUGGAUCAAGACUAAAUUCCCGGAAUCCAUGAGCUUCAACCUCCGAGUGAAAGAAAAUGAAGAUGAUGUAGUUUCGUUUGUUUUUAUUCUUAUCAAAAAUAAUAAUCUAUGUCCGUUGAAAAGUCAUUUUCUGAAAACAUUUUUAUUAUUAGAAAAGUUUAUUAAUAAAAUAUUUAGUUUAGUUUCCAGAAAAGUAUAUAUUAUUUUUAUUUGAGGUGAAACAUAUUUUUAGAAGUUACAAAAUAUUCAAAAAUAUCUUAUUAUCUAUUUAUUAUAUUAAAUUUAAUAAUCAAUUUAGCACUUUUAAAUUUAAUUUUAUUUUUAUAUAAACUUUGGUCUUAUAUUUUUAUUGUUAUUUGUUUUUCUUUUAUUUUUCAAAUUAUUUUCUAUAACACUACUAAACAUCAGAAAAACUUAUAUUUUCUAGAAAAUCACUUUUUUUUAAAAAAACUAUUUUCUAACAAACAAACUAAUAUGAUUUUUCUAGUAAAAUAACAAGUUCCAAUUCUACUUCAAUGAUAAUCUGGUGAGAUGGAAAAUUAGAAGAUCUUUAAAAUAGAAAAGAGAAAGAGCUCAUCUUGAAAUGCCUAAAUAGCUGUAUAUUUGUGUUGUUUAUGAUGUGAUAAUGCUCCAUCACAAAAAAAAAAAAAAAAACAAACAAACAAAAACAAAACUAAAAAAAUAUCUAGUUGAAUUAUUGCAAAAUUUACUUAGCAAUUAUAAGAGCCCAACAAUGAUAAUGAUGUUCAGGAGACUUUUUUACUAUUAUAAGUCCUCAAUAUCAUAUUUUCAUAUUCUGUAUUUUUUCAAUUUGUACUCAGAUUAGUACGCCCUAGAUUUAUGGAAUUGUAGGCAGGAUCAUUUUUUUUUUUUUGUCAAAAUAUUAUAUUGAGAUGUCAUAUGCGUGUUCUAAGGAAGAAAAAAAAAUCAUCCAUCAUCAGAGAAUGUUACUGCCCAACCUUGUAUUACCAGCACCAUUGUUACAUAGCUAACUGACUAGUUCUUGCUACCCUUUCAGGGGUCCAAGCAACAGCAGAGAGCUAAUUUAUCACAAAUAAGUAUACUUCUAACUAAUCAACGCGUUUUUAGCUAAUUUUAUCACUUCAUGUUUGUUCCUUUUCACUAGAAUAUUCUCCUGGUGGUGUUUUCCAAUUAGACAGGGACGUUACCAGUUGCCUGAACAGCAAGUUUCAUGAUGCACAGUGUCAAUGUCAGGUCUGAACUAAUGGCUGAAAUGCAAAUGGACUAAUGUUAGUACAAGAAGAUAUCUAGCCGAGAACGUUAAUGCUAGAAACUGGAGGCACCACAGAAACCACCUAGUUCUAUUAGGUUUUGGCGUGUCUGAGGAAAAGAGGGAUACAAUUCAGUAAUCUGAAAAGCAAAGAUUACCAGAUGAAGUCAUGGUCUUCUAUUUUUGUCUAUUUCACCUUUUAUUAUUGGCCCAUGAAACUGGUAUGUAGUUUCGUUUGUUUUUAUUCUUAUCAGAAAUAAUAAUCUAGGUUCGUUUAAUGAAAAUUUAUUUUCUGAAAAUUAUUUUCUAAAUUUUUUCAUGUUUCUUAUUAGAAAAGUUUAUUAAUAAAAAUUAAUUUUUCAUUAAUAAAAAAUUUAGUUUGGUUUUUAGAAAGUAUUUUAGUUUUAUUUUAGGUGGAAUACACUUUUUAGAAGUUACAAAAUAUUCAAAAAUAUCCUAUUAUCUAUUUAUUAUAUCAAAUUUGAUCAUCAAUUUAGCUCUUUAAAAUUUAAUUUGAUUUUUAUUUCAACUUUGACCUUAUUCUUCUUAUUGUUAUUUGUUUGUUUUUUAUCCAUUAGAUUUGAUCCUUGUUUUUUUUCUUUCUAUUUAUUUUAUUUGAAAUAAUCUUUUUCAUUUUUUUUUUAAUUUCAUCAUUUAUCAAUUUUUUAUUUGUCAUAUUUAGUUUCUAUUAUUUUAAUUGUUAUUUAUUUUAUUUAAAACAAUUUAUAAAAUUUGAAUAUUUUUUCAAUUUCAUCAUCUUUCAACCUUUUCAUUUGUUAAAUUUAGUUUCUAUUCUUUCAGUAAACUUGAAAAAAAUUAAACAUUAAUAAAUUAUUUUUCCUUUUAUUUUUCAUAGUAUAGUCAAACACUAGAAAGUGUUUUCCAACUUAUUUUCUAUAUUUGGUUAGAUGGAAAAAUAGAAGAUCUUUAAAAUGGAAAAGAGAAAGAGCUCAUCUUAAAAUGCCUAAAUAGAUGUAUAUUUGUGUUGUUUAUGAUGUGAUAAUAUUCUCCAUCACAAAAAAAAGUUGUGGCAUCCAAAAAACACUAAAAAAAUAUCUUGUAUAAAACAAGAGCCCAACAAUGAUAAUGAUGUUCAGGAGACUUUUUAACUAUAAAAAAUAAGUUAGAGGAUAACUAGUAAUUUUUUAUUGAAUGGUGAAAUAAAAAAAAAUCAAUAUAAGAAAAAAAUCAAAAAAAUAAGGAUCAAGUUGAAAAAAAUAAAAUAUCACAAAUUUGGAUUCAGUAGUGAAAUUAAAAACAAAUUAAAAUUUUACAAAAUGGCCAAGAACAUAAAUUAAAAAUCAAAACAAUAAAAAUCAAAGUUAAAAUUUCAAUAAACAAGAAGGCAAUUCUGAAAUUUUAAAUGGCUAGUUUGAAUUUCGAGUGGAAAAGAAAAGAAAACAUCAUCGGCAAUAAAUCAUCCCACCCCUGCUAUGAAACACCAUAAAUUUCCCUCUACAUUGUAAGAUCUUCGUAUCAAGGCGAUAAAAAAAACUACCAAGUCAAAUACUAAAUUAAGCAAAUUUGAAUGGAUCAAAUUGAAAAAAAUAAAAAUAAAUUGAGGGAUACAAGAAAAGGGAUGAACCUUCCCUUCUCCAUACAUUUUGUCCUUAAUUUUUAGGUUGUUCAAAUUUGGUCUCCAUUUCUGUAAACCAAGUGUCAAAUGAGCAAUGAUUUUUUUUUAUUCACACCGUGAGAUCCCCUAGCCAAGGUAGACAAAGUAUAUCACAAAGUUUGCUCCCAAAAAUAAUAAAAUUGAAAAACAAAUUAAAGAAAAAAAAAACUAAAGGACUAAGAGAAAAAAAAUUAAAGGACUAAGAAAAAAAAAACUCUAUUACAAUUCAUAGUGUUUUCUCUAUAAAAUUGAAAUAAUAUUAUUUUAUCCUUAAACAUGACUAUUACAAUGACACGAAUGCAUGUCACUUUGAUAUUAUUUACCCCGCAACUUGAGUCAAAAUCCAUUUCUUGCUGCUUUGCCUUGUCUUCAAGGGAAGUACUGACGGUGAGAGGAUAAGUCAUUUGUGUGUGUGAGCCUUGAGGAUAAGUCAUUUGCCUUGUCUCCAAGGAAAGUACUGCUAACAAUUAAGCUUGUGUGCCUCAGCAUUACACAAAUUCAUUUGAAAACUGUCCCCAUAAUCAACUGCCAUGAUUAAGGAGAAAUCUGGGUUUUUUGCCAAAUGCAUGAUCCACAUAGUGCCGAAUAGCAUCAUAUAGUAUGAAUGAAUAAAGAAAACAACACAGGAAAUGUCCAACAAACUGACUCAACAUUCACAAUGCCAAACAAAAGGCCACGGAAUUGAAUUAAAUUUGCACUCCUACAAGUUAGAAAAUUCACGAUGCCAAGAGGAGGUAAGUGAUCUCGUGAACCUAAUAUCUCCGAGUGGAGUUAUUACAAGAACAGUCUCCUGUCCUCAAAUUAAGAUAUUCGUUAAGAAUUAUUGAUUUCACAUGGCCGGUUACAAAGAUACUGCUAAAUAUCACUAAAAAUAUAUAUGUUUUUAGAAAUUUAUUUUUCAUGAUAACUACUUCUCAAGAAAAAAAUAUUUUCUAGAAACAAACAAGAUUUGCCUAGUAAAAUAACAAGUUCCAAUUCUACUUCAAUGAUAUAUUUGGUGAGGAAAAUUAGAAGAUCUUUGAAAUGAAAAAAGAGAAAGAGCUCAUCUUAAAAUGCCUAAAUACCUGUAUAUUUGUGUUGUUUAUGAUGUGAUAAUGAUAUUCUCCAUCACAAACAAAACCAAAAAAACUAAAAAAAUAUCUAGUUGGAUUAUUGCAAAAUUUACUUAGCAAUUAUAAGAGCCCGACAAUGAUAAUGACGUUCAGGAGAUUUUUUUACUAUAUAAAGAGAUUUUUUUUUAGUUUGAGACAUAUUUUUAUCUUCUGUAUUUUUUUAAUUUGUACUUAAAUUAGUACACACUAGAUUUAUGGAAUUGUAUGCAGUAUCGAUUCUUUUUUUUUUUGUAAAAAUAUGAUAUUGAGGUGUCAUAAACGUGUUCUAAAGAAGAAGAAAAAAUCCACAAUUAGGUCAAAUAAAUUACUUUUUUAUUUUAAUUAUAUGAUAAAAAAUAAUAAUAAACAGUGACACCAAAUAAACUAAAUAAACAAAUUGAUUAUGAUAACUUGAAAAAAAUAACUAUAUUUUUUUAAAUAAUAUAAUUCAAUUCUCAGUCCAAUAAAAUAUAGAAUAAUAAAAUUGAAUUAAAAAUGUAAAAAUAAACCAACCCGAGUCACCUUGAGUUAGCAUAAUCAAUUGAAUUACCAAAAAAAACUAUUAAGUCAAAUACUAAAUUAAGCAAAUUGGAAUAGAUUAAAUUAAAAAAAUAAAUAAAUUAUGGGAUAAAAGAAAAGGGAUGAACCAUACAUUUUAGUCCCUAAUUUUUAGAUUGUUUAAAUUGGUCUCCAUAGCUUUAAUUGCUUUCAAUCAAUAAAACUUUAUUUAAUUUCGGUAAACCAAGCGUCAUCUAAGCAAUGAUUUUCUUUAUUAAUACCCUGAGAUCCCCUAGCCAAGACAGACAAAUAUACCACAAAGUUUAAUCCCAAAAAUAAUAAAAUUAAAAAAAGAAUUAAAGAACCAAAAAAAAAACUGAAGGACUAAGAAAAAAACUCUGUUACAAUUCGUAGUGUUUUCACUAUAGGUGAACAUGACUUUUGCCGGUAAGCCCACCAAGCCCCUGUUCAAAAAACUACAGAGCAUCUCCUUAAUCAUGUCUGGAUCAGACAUGGCCAACAACCUGGGCUCGACUCCCAACCGGUGGAGAAAUGUCUUCCUGCUCUUCCUUGACCAUUGAUAGACGUUGGCUUCGACAAAUUGAUAUUAGGCUGAUAUCCUUGGACCUUCCGAAGAUUGGAUUGUAGGCAAGGCCAGUAUCUGUGCCUUUUUUUAAAUGGUUUUGGAUUCUCCAUGGAACCCUUAAAACUGAGUGUAGGAAUUUCAAAAUGCAGAGUCUAAGGAAGAUCACAAAGAGAAGAAAAAAACAAGGUGAAAGAAGGAUCGUGCAGUGGGCUUGAUUUGUCAGAAGAGAUUGUUUUUACCAUGAUUUAAGUAAUGUGCAGCUGCAAUGAUUGGUGAAUUAUGAGGGGUGGUUGAAAAUUAUAUGAUGCUUUGUCUCCUUAAAGAGAUAUUGGGGAUUAUCUGGUGAUAAACUGUUGUAACCCAUUUUUGGGUCCCCAUAUAAAAAAUAAUAAAAUACAAAAAAAUCAAAAAAAUAUAUUAUAAAAAAAAUAUAACAGUGAAAAAAAUGUCAGAGCGCCCUAAAAAUGCUCAAAAAUUGAUAGAGGAUGCUCAAAAAUAUAAAAAAUAUUUUUGACAGGAUAUCAUUGACUGAUGAGAGCCCCGAUGAUAAAGAAAAUUCAAUUUGUAGAAGAAAAAUGCAAAAUCAGAAGUUUAUGGACUCAAUUAAAUUUUAUUAAAGGUUUAAUUGCAUUUAUGAAGAUUUUAAUUGCAAGAAAAAUUGAUUUUGGAGUUAAUUUGGGCUUUAAUUAGGAGAAAUUAAUUUUCUAGGGUCAAAUUAUAAUUUUUGGAAGUUAAUUUGGUCAAAUUAGGGGCUUAAUUGCAUAAAUAUUGAAGUUUAAUGGCUAAUUAGGGACUUAAUUGAAGAAAUCCGAGACCAAGGACUAAAUUGUAAAACGCGCGCAAAUGUUAGGGCCGAAAUUUGAAUCUGAUGCUUUUGGCGCCUUUUCCUUUUAAAUGAAACGGCGCGUUUUGACCAAAACGACGCCGUUUCAUUCACUGUUGCAAAAAAAAAAAAUACAGAAGCCCAAAACGGUGUCGUUUUGACGGCACUGUAGCUCUUCUUCUUCCCCUGGACACCCGAGGCAGGGGAAGAAGAAGAUUUAUUCUUCCCCUUUUCGCCUAAUUUCUUUCCUUUUUUUGCUCAAAAAGACGCCGAAACAAGGACACCACUUGCCGACCACUUUCCACGUGUUGGACGGGCGGCAGCACACCGGCCACCACCAUGACGUCCCCCCCCCCAUGUUUUUCGCCUAUAAAAACAGGGGAGGAAGAGGAAAAAAAAAAAAAAGACAGAAGGGAGACGAACUGAGAUAGAAGAGAAGAGAAUAGAGAGGGCAGAGAAGAAGAAGAAGAAGAAGAAGAAGCAGGGAAGAAAAGAAGAAAAACAGAAGAAGAGAGAGAACCACCGCCAGCCUCCGCCACCAUCGCCUCCGUGCCUACGCCGCCAGCAGCACCGCCACGACGCACCGCAGGUAAUCUCUCGCCGCCCUGUCGCCUUCUCCUUUGCUGCCUCCCCGUUUGCAUGCAGAACGUGAAUUAAUUCACGUUCUGCAGCUGAAGAGUGGUUACUGUGCUUAGCACAGUAACCAGCCCAUUUGGUAAUGGGCCGGGUUGGCCCAGCCCACUGAAUGGGCCGGACCCGGCCCAUUUCAUUUUUUUUUUUAAUUUUUUACAAUUUUUCCAGCACUUGUUUUUAUCAAUUUUUGCUUAAUAUCGGUCUGUAUUUUACAUCGUAAAAAUAUAAAUUCGGUAUUAAAAUACCCGGUUUUCGUCCCACAGUACUGUUCACACAUGCAUAAAAAAAAAUCAAAAAUAUUUGUUUCAGCAUUUUAUAAUUUUUCCGUAGUUUUUAUGUCAUUUUGAUUAAUAUCGGGCAGUAUUUUUAUAAAAAAUCCGGUAUUAAAAUACCCGGUUUUUCGGCAAAAACUUCCAAAAAUAAAAAAAAAAAUUAAAAAAAAAGAAAAAAAAUGUUUUUGUGCAUACGGCCAAGUGUCUCAAAUCUAAAAAAUCAUAUCGUAUUUUUCAUAUGUCAAAAAAAAUAUUUUAGCAUGCAUUUUGGCUUUAAUAACCAGUUUAUUAAAGUCAAGAGAACAUUGGCCAAAAUCUCAAAAACAACAAAAAAUUUUAUUUUGUUUGAUUUUAGUAUCAGGGAUUAUGAAUUUAUACGUAAAUCGUAUUCCUGAUAUUAAAAAGAUAUUUUCUUUUGACGACUUCGAAUAGUUAGUUUUUUUUACCCGAUAAAGAUAAGGAUCUCCUUACAGAGGAGGACUUUUCUUAAACCGUAAACGAACCAACAAUUCAAAAAAACCACAACACGAUUUUAGAUUUUAUCAGACAUUAAAACAAUGCAGCCUACCUUAGGUAGGGCGUAGUUGGGGUGCUAAUACCUUCCCUUUACGCAACCAGUCUCCGUACCCGAUCUCUAAAGACCAGUUAAGGUUCCUAGUAACCAGAAUAUUAGGUGGCGACUCCCAUUCCAAUUUUUUUCACUUGUAGAGACAAGAAUUCCUUGUCUCUCCCCAUUUGUCAGGAAUAAAUAUUCCGAUUUUUCCUUGAGGGUGGACGAUCGCCGCGCCGCCGCACACGUGCGACAAAAACCAUGGGCACCCUGUAUGGAUUAUGAUGCUCAAAAAGGGUUAAUGUCGCCUAAGAAGAAAUACUACUGUGUGGAAUCUGAUCAAGCGACUUGACACAGCCGUUGAAAGUUUUCAAAGUUUGCUAAGACUCUAAAUUUAAACGAACUGAUAAUAACACGUAGAACACUUGAAAGAAAAAUUGUUUACGGGGCAUUACACAGAUACAAUAAUGAAGUUCUAAGAGGGUUUUGAUUACAAUUUCAGAACAGAAGGACUAAUUAGACAUGAAUUCUGUCAUGGAAAAACAUGAGAUUUCACCAGGAAAAAAAAACCUUUCCAUUCGAAGAUUGAGAAACUUUCCAAGAUUUUAUGCAAAUUGAUAGGAAAUUAUCUACCUUCGUCUGAAGCAAUCGUUGUAUCGAUGCUUAUUUCUUGUUUACUUGAAGAUGAAUCUGUGCCAGAAAGGCCUGUUCCUUGUUUACUUGAACAAGAAGCUGCGCCAGAAAGGCCUCUUCGUAUAAAAAAGGCUGGGUUCUUAGGAACCGGCAAGUUUGCAGUUUCACUGCUAAGCAUCACAACAACAUUGGACAUGGUCGGACGGUCGGAUGGAUCAUCUUGUACGCAUAAGAGUGCAACAUUUACACACCUCAGAAACUCAUUGGUGUUGCAAAUCUCACGUAAUGUCUCGUCCAUUAAAUCCAAUGCCUUGUCUUCUCUCCAUAAUCUCCAAGCCUGGAAUUUUGAAGUUUAAGUCAGCAUCGCUUAUCAAAUGACAAAACAUUAUAUUAGCACGGUUGAACUUACAUAAGCUAGAAGGCUUUGGGCUUCAUCAGAAUUAAAAUAUCCUGUGUUCCUUUUCCCACUAAGAAUCUCAAGUACAACUACGCCGAAACUAAAAACAUCAGAUUUGACAGAAAAUAGGCCAUCUAAUGCGUACUCUGGCGACAUGUAGCCACUGCAUUACAACAAUUUUCACAAGAAUCAGUAACUCGGCUGGAUUCAGACUCCUAAUUCAGCAUUAAACAAUACAUGAUUGAAGGAUUGGAGACUGCAAAAAUAGUGUUUGCAUAUGAAUGUAUGUCUGAUGAAUAUCAAUGUUGAUAGGAUCUGAAACUUACUAAGUUCCAACAACACUGUUUGUGCUCCCCUCGGUUUGUUUGCCUUCGAACAUCCUUGCCAAUCCAAAGUCAGAAAUUUUGGGAUUCAUUUCCGCAUCUAAUAAAAUGUUGCUCGUUUUCAUAUCACGAUGAAUAAUCCUGAGUCUAGAAUCUUGGUGGAGAUAAAGAAGACCUCUAGCAACUCCUAAAAUGAUAUCAAAGCGCGUCUCCCAAUUCAGUAACAUUCCCAGAUCUCGAUCUUCAGCGGUUUUCCAUUUCCAUAAGUACAAAAAUUAGCAACCAUGAUUGCUGCAAACGUACAUUUAUAAACCAAAAAUGAUGAAUCUGUUUAGAGACUAACCAAAUAUGAAGGAAUCUAAGCUUUUGUUAGGCAUAUAUUCAUAGAGUAAAAUCUUUUCAUCUCCUUUUAUGCAAUAGCCUACUAGUCUGACAAGAUUCCGAUGCUGCAAUCUAGCAAUCAAAAUCACCUCAUUCUUAAACUCCUCUAGGCCUUGUCCUGAAACACUAGAGAGUCGUUUUAUUGCAAUUUCUUGACCUCCUGGAAAUUUUCCCUGAAACCAAAGUUGCGAUGCAGGUAAAAUUCAGCCAGAAAACUUGUCAGACACAAAAAUUCCAAUGAUUAACGUAAAUAUUACUUUGUAAACAGGUCCGAAGCCCCCUCUUCCAAGCUUGUUUGCUUCCGAAAAAUAAUCCGUAGCAGCUAGUAUGCUGUCUAAAUCAAAGAAAGGUACAUCUAUGCCCUUCUUAUCUUCUUCGUUGAACUCUUCUGCAUCUAUCAAGUUCUUGACCCGUUUCUCAGUGCCAUACAAAACAGCUGCAUUUCUUUCAGUAUUUUGCUGGCUUUCUGAAAUUUCAACAAGACAACUGCUAAUUACAUGAGGAAUCCUUAAAAACUUCAAUACCUACACGUUGAAAAUUUGUCUAGUUACCUCGUCGUUUGGCCUUCUUUCUCAUCAAAAUGCAGAUGUAAAGGAAGAUGCUUGAUAGAACUAUGACACUAGCAAUUGUAACUCCUACAAUCAAAGACAAUGGUUUCUUUUUUCUCGAAGAUCCUCCUGCUUGUCUAUCGAAAAUUUCAAGAAAGAAAGGGUUUAUGCACAUUAUAAUAAAUUAAACUGGAUGAAACUUAUGGUUUUCACUACUUUUGCAGUUUGAGGCAAGAUAUAGAGUGCUCACCAUGAACGCAUUUUAGAGCAUUGUUAUCCCACCAAAAAUUUGAAUUGCAGAGGCAUCUCGCUGUACCAUUUCCUUUUAGAUUGUUGCAAGUUGAAUUUGGCCAAUCGUCGCAGUCUGAAGAUGAAGAGCAGACUGGCUCUUGAGGUGGCUCCCAACCAAUAUCUAUUUCUACCAGACCUUGAGAUGAAACGUUGGAAAUAAAAUUUCCUGCCACGGUAUCACACCAGCGUUUAGAGGCGUUCAUCUUAAAUGGAAAUGACGUGUUGAACUUCCGAAUUUGACCUCUUGUACUGGCAUUACAAUCAUCUACAUCUUUGUGAUGUUUAGUAUUAAAAAGAUUUGGAAAAUACAAUAAAGCCCUUGGAGGCUUAAAAGAGGGUAUAAAUGAUUGAAGGGUAGUGUGGUAAUUGACCAAUAGUUGAUAAAUAUAUAUAAGAAAAAAAAAAAAAAGGAUCUGAAUUUGGAGAGAGAACCGGCAGGAGAGAAGAGAGGAAGAAGAAGAAGAGAAAAGAGGGGAAAAAGGAAAAGGUUGAAGAAAACAAGUAAAAGGGUAAGAUUAUGCUUGAAUGUAUAAUAUGUUUUCUUUAGCUUUAAAUUUCGGUUUUUGAUUAAUUUUAGAGUUUUGAAUUUUGAGUUUAUUGAUGAAUUAGUUUGAAUUAGAGGUUGAUUGAUGUGGGUAUUUGAUUAUUAGUUGAAUUGGAGAGAUUGUAAGAAAAUGAUGAUUUUGAGUUAUGGUUGAAUUGAAUGAUGAAGUUGAGGUAUAAAUCUGGAACUAACAGUAGGUGAUCUGUUGAAAUUCUGGGUUUGAGGUUGAAGAUGACGAAAAUUCAGUUUGGUCCCUCAAUUUGUGAAAUUGCAGUUUAGUCCCCGAACUUUGGAAAUUUUACAGAUUGGUCCCUGGGGCAUAAAUUGAGGUUCUGAACAGAACUGAGGAUGAUUUAAGGACAAAAUUCCAGUAUAAUUAAUAUUUUCAGUUUGGUCCUCCAAUUUGACAAAAAGUAUAAUUUGACCCUAAAAAUUUGGUAAAGUUCCAGAAUGGUCCUUGGAGCAUAAUGAUAUAUCCUGGACAGAAUUGAGGAUUAAUUAUGGAUAAAUUUCAGUAUGGUUAUAUAUUUACAAUUCGGUCCUCAAAUUUUGGUAAAAUUACGUUUUGGUCCCUGUUUUGGAAAAUUAUCGUUUUAGUCCCUAAACUUGGGAGAUUAAGCCCGGUUUUAUUUUAUGCAUUGGGAUCUUUUGUUUGAUUGUUUUUGAGUAUAUUUCAUAUAUUUAUUGUAGGUUCUCCUAACGAUCCUUAAUCGGAUUUUCGGGUCUUUUGUCUGACAUUCCUUUAGUUCAGUAUUUUCCGGGUGAGUGGAAUAAUCUUUAAUAUGCAUAUAAUAUAAAUAAAUAUGUAUGUUGAUUAUACAAUGAGUACAACUAGUAAAUUUCUUGAAUAUUUAUAUAUGUUGCUUUAUUUUCCGAGUACUCAUUUAUUCUUGAAUUUGCACUCGCAAUCUGAUAAAGUAAAUUCUAUUUGAUAGAUAUGAUAUACGUUUUUGAUGAUGUGAAUAUCUAUUAUGCCUUGAUAUGGGACUUGUCAGUAACUCCAUGCUAACGGAGAAUAGUUAGCCUGUGUGCACAUAGUAUUCUGUUACCUAGCUGGUGAGAGAGGCAUCAGCCUGUGGCGAUUAAUCAUCCCACAGUGGUCACCGACGGGUGUCAUCUGGUCACCGACGGGUGUCAUCUGGUCACCUUCGGGUGUCAUCUGGGUCACCUUCGGGUGUCAUCUGAUCUCUGACAUGUAAUCCACUACGUUAUGAUAAUAUGUUUAGUAAGUAUAUGUAUAUGUAUAUUAAGAUAAAUCAUCUUACAAAUUAUUAAUAUCUUAAAUAUCUUAAAUGUAUAUUAAAUGUUAUUCCCUCACUGAGUUGGUUGAACUCACCUCUCAUUUUUAAUAUUAUUUCAGGUUCUUAAUUUCUGAGACUUUGUUGAGUGUUUCCGCUUCUUCAGUUCUGGUCGGUAUGCCUUGCUUGUUCGCGAGGCUUUCCUUUCAGUUUUGAUUUGAUGUCUUAGACGCUCCACUGUUACCUUGUUUUAAUUAAGUUUGGAUUUUGGCAAUGUAAAUAGUAUUAUGAAUUAUUAUUUUUGUUUUAAUAACUAUCUUUCGGUUUCAUUAGUAUUUGAAUAAUAUAAUAUUUCUGAAUAUUAUGAGCCGCUGCGUAUUUUUGAACAAAUUGUUCUUUUGAUAUGUCCGUUCUGAGGCUUAGCGUAGGUGAGGUGUCCUUUCGACACCGCUCCUACGUUGCCGGUCACGGAUCCGGGAUUCGGGUCGUGACAAUCUUUCUCUUGGAUAACAAAUGUUCUUGUAUCUUGAUUGAUGGUAGUGACAUUAUAGGUGCCGCUGGGUGUCUUAAAGCUGAGUUUUCCUAUGGAAUUAUUGCAGUAGAAACUGUAGUACGCGGGGUCACCACAAUCUGAUCCAGUGCUUAGAGGAUAAGGAAUCACAUUUGUGCCACAAGGCUCACAACUUUUAUCCUUUGAUUCUGCAAAACAUGGAGCUUUUUUUAAGGUAUGCAAAACUACUGAUAUUUAGUUCAGUUAUGAAUUAAGUCCACUGCUUGUCUGCAAUCUUCUAUCAGAGAAAAUUAUCCUUGACGUAAUUCUAGCAUCUUGUAGUAACAAAAGGAGAAAGAACAAGUCGAAAGAAGAAAGUACCUAUAUCAGAAAUGGCGACUCGGACAAAGAGAUCGGGUCCACCAUAAGAAUAUUCCUCCUGGAGAUCUUUAAGAUCAUCAUACAUCCAGAUCAAGCAAGUGCGAGGUUGUCUGUCCCUUCGCCUAUUGACUUUCACCUCAACGAAGGAAUAAGCUUGGCAUGAGCAGUUACUGAGACACUCCUCUCUGCAUUGUUUUUCAUCCUCGACCUCAAAUGUUUUGACUGGUUGCCCAAAUUUCAUCGUCUUGAAGCUCAAGAAGGUGUUCUUCUUCACACAUGGGUCAGAGCUUCUGAUACAACCACUGGAGAAAUCGUCAUUUUUCCAAUUUUCCAGUGACUUAGGCUCAAAUCCUGGCAAACAUCUGCAAGCCACUUUAUUGUAUAGAUUGCAGCUGCCAAAGUUCCCACAGGCAUUAUACACACUGCAUUUGUCUUUCGGCUCCCACCAUAGCUUAGACCUAGUUGUGUUAUAGCUCAAGUAUUGUAGCUCCCCUUUAACGUCCAACCUAAUCCUUGUAUUACUAAAAUCUGAGAGUGAUAUAUUUAUUCCGUUGAGUAUUGAAGUUGGAUUAGAAACAGAAAUGGAUUCAAAACCUUUGGUGAAGUUCGAUAGAAAAUAUUCUAUAACAUCAGGCAUUCUUUCUGGUCUAAAGAAAUCACUUGACUCCCCACUAGUCCAGUGCUUUAUACUGCCAUCGGAGAUAACAAACUGGCCCCUUUCUUCAUCUAGCUGAAAUGUGAAGUUACCUUCUUGUGGAUCAACUUCACUUUUCCAUGAAGUCAAUUUUAGAUCCCCAAUCAUCUUCAUACCUGAAAGAAAUGUAUCAGUUGGAUGGUCAAAGCUUUGCCAUAGAAUAGUUGUCGAAAGGGUAUUACUAUCACACAAAACCAAGUUCCCAGAAUCUAAGAGCUUAGCCAACCCAUUCGCUGGUUUUGAUGUUGAUUCAAGCCCUGUAGACCAAAAAGAAUCUCCAUUUUUUUUCAAAAUCUUGAGAUUUCCAUCAUCUGUGACAGCCAAAACUGCUCCAUCAUCAAGAAGUGGGCUGUUUCGAUUGGCAACCCACACAACUAUUCGUGGUUUCGACCCGUAAUACCAAAUUCCUACGUAGCUUUUGUUUUGUUCAGUAGUAAAGAACCCCAGUUCAAACCAUUUUCGUGCUGAAACAAGAGUUUCUCCACCAUCAUGACUAAUCAAAUUACCAGCAUAUGUGAUCGUAUCUCCAGCAAAGCAACAUAAAAGGGAGGAGCAUAAUAAGAACGCAUAAGAAAAGAAAACGGUUGAUAGCAUGCUAUGCAUUGCACAUAGAUCCCUCUGGUUAAGACCUCUUCUUACCAUCAACCUUGAAUGUAUCACUCAAGUCAACUGCAAAGCAAAUUUUCACUGCACGUGUUCUGUGUUGACGCUGACCAUAAAGGAAGGGAGAUGAUGCUUUACUAAACUUAGAUUAAUUUAGAAUAGUUAAUCAUUUGAACACCACAACAUUUUCCUAGUCAUCGACAAAAAAUUAAUACAUUGUAACGUUGUAGUGUUUAUUUUGUAAAAUAUUUUUUAUUUAAAAAUAUAUUAAAAUAAUAUUUUUAUUAUUUUUAAAAAAUUAUUUUUGAUAUUAAAAAUUAAUUUUAAAUAAAAAAAUUAUAAUUUAAUGAGAAACACAAUUUAAAACAAUUUUAUCUAGCUUAUAUUUUCUUUAAUGGUGGUACUCUAGUGAUAGAGUUGCCGUAGUGGGGUGGUAAUGAAAAUAGCAACAGUGAUGAUAAUAUUGCAUGUAGUGAUGAUGAUAAGAUUUUGAUGGUUAAGAUUGAUGAAUGAUUUUGUGUAUAAAUUAUUAUUUAAAAAAGUUUAAAAAAUAUUUUAUUUAAAACAAAUUCCUUCUUAAACUACCCAUAAAUAAUUAAAUUGCUUGCUGCAGGAGUGGUUUUUUUUUUUUUAUUAUUAUUAUUAAUGUGUAUAUUUGAGUUAGUUUACGUGGAUUUUAAUUAAUUUUAUAAAUUUUAAAAUUAAAAACUAUAUAAAUUUUUCAAACUAAUAAUUUUUAAAAAUUAAACUUAAAAUAUAACAAGUUAAUUUAUAUAUUUCGAAAUAUGCAGGCUUGUUCUUUUCUUUUACAAGUAUUGGCUCUCCUUUCCCACGCCAUUUUCUGUGGCAACAAGGGCGCGUCAAGGCAUUUUUCAAACUUUAUGCAUUCAUGCUUUCAAGGCUGAUUCAGGUUUAAUAAGUAUGCUUUGAAUGCGAUUCUACUUAUAUUCCCAUGCAGGACGCGAAUUUAUUGUAGUCCUUUAAUUUAGAAAAUUAUGAGAUCAGGGUCGUCCACUCAUAUAUGUCCAUUUGCAGCUUCUUGGAUCAAGACUAAGUUCCCGGAAUCCAUGAGCUUCAACCUCCGAGUGAAAGAAAAUGAAGAUGAUGUUUCUUUCACAGAAAAUGUUUGAAUUCUCGUUCUUUCUUUCACAUCCAUCAUCAGAGAAUGUUACUGCCCAACCUUGUAUUACCAGCAGCAUUGUUACAUAGCUAACUGACUAGUUCUUUCUACCCCUUUCAGGGGACCAAGCAAGAGCAGAGAGCUAAUUUACCACAAAUAAGUCUACUUCUAACUAAUCAACGCGUUUUUAGCUCAUUUUAUCACUUUAUGUUUGUUCCUUUUGACUAGAAUAUUCUCCUGGUGGUGUUUUCCAAUUAGACAGAGACGUUACCAGUUGCCUGAACAGCAAGUUUCAUGAUGCACAGUGUCAAUGUCAGGUCUGAACUAAUGACUGAAAUGCAAAUGGAGUAAUGUUAGUACAAGCAGAUAAAUCGCCGAGAACGUUAAUGAUAGAAACUGGAGGCACCACAGAAACCACCUAGUUCGAUUAGGUUUUGGCGUGUCUGAGGAAAAGAAGGAUACAAUUCAGUAAUCUGAAAAGCAAAGAUUACCAGAUGAAGUCAUGGUCUUCUAUUUUUGUCUAUUUCACCUUUUAUUAUUGGCCCAUGAAACUGGCAAGUAGUUUCGUUUGUUUUUAUUCUUAUCAGAGAUAAUAAUCUAGGUUCGUUUAAUGAAAAGUUAUUUUCUAAAUUUUUUCAUGUUUAUUAUUGGACAAGUUUAUUAAUAAAAAAUAAUUUUUAAUAAAUAAAAAAUUUAGUUUGGUUUUUAGAAAGUAUUUUAGUUUUAUUUUAGGUGGAAUACACUUUUUAAAAGAUACAAAAUAUUCAAAAAUAUCCUAUUAUCUAUCUAUUAUAUUAAAUUUGAUCAUCAAUUUAGCUCUUUGAAAUUUAAUUUGAUUUUUAUAUCAAUUUUAGCCUUAUUCUUUUUAUUGUUAUUUGUUUUUUUUUAAUUGAAAUUUUUUUUAUCCAUUAGAUUUGAUCCUUGUUCUUUUGAUUUCUAUUUAUUUUAUUUGAAAUAAUCUUUGUCAUUAAUUUUUUUAAUUUCAUCAUUUAUCAACUUUUUAUUUGUCAUAUUUAGUUUCAUUAUUUUAAUUGUUAUUUCUUUUAUUUAAAAUAAUUUAUAAAAUUUAAAUAUUUUUUUCAAUUUCAUCAUCUUUCAACCUUUUCAUCUGUUAAAUUUAGUCUCUAUUAUUUUAGUAAACUUGAUAAAAAUUAAACAUUAAUAAAUUAUUUUUCCUUUCAUUUUUUACGGUAUAGUCAAACACUAAAAGUGUUUUCCAACUCAUUUUCUAUAAUAUUGCUAAAUAUCACAAAAAAAUAUAUAUUUUAAAAAAUUUAUUUUUCAUGAAAACUACUUGUCAAGAAAAAAAUAUUUUCUAGGAAACAAACAAGAUUUGCUCAGUAAAAUAACAAGUUCCAAUUCUACUUCAAUGAUAUAUUUGGUAAUUAGAAGAUCUUUAAAAUGGAAAAGAGAAAGAGCUCAUCUUAAAAUGCCUAAAUAGCUGUAUAUUUGUGUUGUUUAUGAUGUGAUAAUGAUAUUCUCCAUCAUAAACAAAAGUUGUGGCAUCCAAAAAAAACUAAAAAAAUAUCUUGUAUAAAACAAAUUAUUGCAAAAUUUACUUGGCAAUUAUAAGAGCCUAACAAUGAUAAUGAUGUUCAAGAGACUUUUUAACUAUAAAAAAUAAGUUAGAGGAUAACUAGUAAUUUUUUAUUGAAUGGUGAAAUCAAAAAAAAAAAAAUCAAUAUAACAAUAAGAUAUAAGAAAAAAUAAAAAAAAAUAAGGAUCAAGUUGAAAAAAAUAAAAUAUCACAAAUUUGGAUUCAGUAAUGAAAUUAAAAACAAAAUAAAAUUUUACAAAAUGGCCAAGAACAUAAAUUAAAAAUCAAAACAAUAAAAAUCAAAGUUAAAAUUUCAAUUAACAAGAGGGCAAUUCUGAAAUUUUGAAUGGCUAGUUUGAAUUUCGAGUGGAAAAGAAAAGAAAACAUCAUCGGCAAUAAAUCAUCUCACCCCUGCUAUGAAACACCAUAAAUUUCCCUCUACAUUGUAAGAUCUUGUAUCAAGGCAACCAAAAAAAAUACCAAGUCAAAUACUAAAUUAAGCAAAUUUGAAUGGAUCAAAUUGAAAAAAAUAAAAAUAAAUUGAGGGAUACAAGAAAAGGGAUGAACCUUCCCUUAUCCAUACAUUUUGUCCUUAAUUUUUAGGUUGUUCAAAUUUGGUCUCCAUUUUUGUAAACCAAGUGUCAAAUGAGCAAUGAUUUUUUUUAUUCACACCGUGAGAUCCCCUAGCCAAUGUAGACAAAGUAUAUCACAAAGUUUGAUCCCAAAAAUAAUAAAAUUGAAAAAAGAAUUAAAGAACAAAAAAAAAAAACUAAAGGACUAAAAGAAAAAAAACUAUAAGACUAAGAAAAAAAAAACUCUAUUAUAAUUCAUAGUGUUUUCUCUAUAAAAUUGAAAUAAUACUAUUUUAUCCUUAAACAUGACUAUUACAAUGACACGAAUGCAUGCCACUUUGAUAUUAUUUACCCCGCAACUUGAGUCAAAAUCCAUUUCUUGCUGCUUUGCCUUGUCUUCAAGGGAAGUACUGACGGUGAGAGGAUAAGUCAUUUGUGUGUGUGAGCCUUGAGGAUAAGUCAUUUGCCUUGUCUUCAAGGAAAGUACUGCUAACAAUUAAGCUUGUGUGCCUCAGCAUUACACAAAUUCAUUUGAAAACUGUCCCCAUAAUCAACUGCCAUGAUUAAGGAGAAAUCUGGGUUUUUUGCCAAAUGCAUGAUCCACAUAGUGCCGAAUAGCAUCAUAUAAUAUGAAUGAAUAAAGAAAACAACACAGGAAAUGUCCAACAAACUGACUCAACAUUCACAAUGCCAAACAAAAGGCCACGGAAUUGAAUUAAAUUUGCACUCCUACAAGUUAGAAAAUUCACGAUGCCAAGAGGAGGUAAGUGAUCUCGUGAACCUAAUAUCUCCGAGUGGAGUUAUUACAAGAACAGUCUCCUGUCCUCAAAUUAAGAUAUUCGUUAAGAAUUAUUGAUUUCACAUGGCCGAUUACAAAGAUACUGCUAAAUAUCACUAAAAAUAUAUAUAUGUUUCUAGAAAUUUAUUUUUCAUGAAAACUACUUCUCAAGAAAAAAAUAUUUUCUAGAAAACAAACAAGAUUUGCCUAGUAAACUAACAAGUUCCAAUUCUACUUCAAUGAUAUAUUUGGUGAGAUGGAAAAUUAGAAGAUCUUUGAAAUGGAAAAGAGAAAGAGCUCAUCUUAAAAUGCCUAAAUACCCUGUAUAUUUGUGUUGUUUAUGAUGUGAUAAUGAUAUUUUCCAUCACAAACAAAACCAAAAAAACUAAAAAAAUAUCUAGUUUUAUUAUUGCAAAAUUUACUUAGCAAUUAUAAGAGCCCGACAAUGAUAAUGAUGUUCAGGAGAUUUUUUUACUAUAUAAAGAGAUUUUUUUUUAGUUUGAGACAUAUUUUCAUCUUCUGUAUUUUUUCAAUUUAUACUUAGAUUAGUACACAUUAGAUUUAUGGAAUUGUAGGCAGUAUCGAUUCUUUUUUUUUUUUUGUGAAAAUAUAAUAUUAAGGUGUCAUAAGCGUGUUCUAAAAAAGGAAAAAUCCACAAUUAGGUCAAAUAAAUUACUUUUUAUUUUAAUUAUAUGAUAAAAAAUAAUAAUAGGUAGUGACACUAAAUAAACUAAAUAAACAAAUUGAUUAUGAUAACUUGAAAAAAAAAACUAUAUUUUCUUAAAUAAUAUAACUCAAUUCUCAGCCCAACAAAAUAUAAAAUAAUAAAAUUGAAUUAAAAAUGUAAAAAUAAACCAACCUUGAGUUAGCAUUAAUCAAUUGAAUUACCAAAAAAACUAUAAAGUCAAAUACUAAAUUAAGCAAAUUUGAAUAGAUUAAAUUAAAAAAUAAAUAAAUUAUGAGAUAAAAGAAAACGGAUGAACCAUACAUUUUAGUCCCUAAUUUUUAGAUUGUUUAAAUUGGUCUCCAUAGCUUUAAUUGCUUUCAAUCAAUAAAACUUUAUUUAAUUUCGGUAAACCAAGCGUCAUCUAAGCAAUGAUUUUCUUUAUUAAUAACCUGAGAUCCCCUAGCCAAGACAGACAAAUAUACCACAAAGUUUAAUCCCAAAAAUAAUAAAAUUAAAAAAAGAAUUAAAGAACCAAAAAAAAAACUGAAGGACUAAGAAAAAAACUCUGUUACAAUUCGUAGUGUUUUCACUAUAGUCUAUAGGUGAACAUGACUUUUGCCGGUAAGCCCACCAAGCCCCUGUUCAAAAAACUACAGAGCAUCUCCUUAAUCAUGUCUGGAUCAGACAUGGCCAACAACCUGGGCUCGACUCCCAACCGGUGGAGAAAUGUCUUCCUGCUCUUCCUUGACCAUUGAUAGACGUUGGCUUGGACAAAUUGAUAUUAGGCUGAUAUCCUUGGACCUUCCGAAGAUUGGAUUGUAGGCAAAGCCAGUAUCUGUGCCUUUUUUAAAUGGUUUUGGAUUCUCCAUGGAACCCUUAAAACUGAGUGUAGGAAUUUCAAAAUGCAGAGUCUAAAGAAGAUCACAAAGAGAAGAAAAAAGCAUGGUGAAAGAAGGAUCGUGCAGUGGGCUUGAAUUGUCAGGAGAUUGUUUUUACCAUGAUUUAAGUAAUGUGCAGCUGCAAUGGUUGGUGAAUUAUGAGGGGUGGUUGAAAAUUAUAUGAUGCUUUGUCUCCUUAAAGAGAUAUUGGGGAUUAUCUGGUGAUAACCUGUUAAAACCAUUGGCACCCUGUAUGGAUUAUGAUGCUCAAAAAGGGUUAAUGUCGUAUAAGAAGAAAUACUACUGUGUGGAAUCUGAUCAAGCAACUUGACACAGCCGUUGAAAGUAUUCAAAGUUUGCUAAGACUCUAAAUUUAAACGAAUUGAUAAUAAUAACGUAGAACACUUAAAGAAAAAUUGUUUACGGGGAAUUACACAGAUACAAUAAUGAAGUUCUAAGAGGGUUUUGAUUACAAUUUCAGAACAGAAGGACUAAUUAGACAUGAAUUCUGUCAUGGAAAAACAUGAGAUUUCACCAGGAAAAAAGAAACCUUUCCAUUCGAAGAUUGAGAAACUUUCCAAGAUUUUAUGCAAAUUGAUAGGAAAUUAUCUACCUUCGUCUGAAGCAAUCGUUGUAUCGAUGUUUAUUUCUUGUUUACUUGAACAAGAAGCUGUGCCAGAAAGGCCUUGUUAUAAUUCACAGUUGUUGAAUUUAUUUCAUUAUAAGGCCUUCCAUUUGUAGUUGUGUUCCCAAGAGGUCUGCUUGGUUUCCUGCUGGAAUUCAUGAGCAAGUUAGAAACAAGCCAGAGCCUUUCAUCGGAUCUUACAAAACUUCCUGAAACUCCACUUUUCCAGUACGGAAUCGAUCCGUUCCUAAUGAUGAUGUACAGUUUUUUUCUUUCAUGCAGCUGAAAUUUGAAGUCUCCUGGUGCUGGGUCAAUGGGACUCUUCCAAGAAGUCAACAUAAAGUUCUUGUCUAUCUUCAUUCCAGGAAGAAAUGUGUCAGUCGGACAAUCAAAGCUUUGCCACAAUAUCGCUGAACCAUUUGCAGCUUCUUGGAUCAAGACUAAGUUCCCGGAAUCCAUGAGCUUCAAAGAAAAUGAAGAUGAUGUUGAUUCUAUCCUUGCGGACCAGUAAGAUGUUCUAUUUCCAUCCAUCACAUGGAGGUUUCCAUCUUGUCCGAGGGAAAAAACUCCCCUGGAAUUAUCAAGUGGAUUUUCACGGUUAGCAACCCACACAAAAGUUUGAGGGCUGUUGUAAUACCAGAUGCCUAGGUAUUUCUUGCCAUCAUUUCUCCCAUAUGGAGUGAAGAAUCCAAGUUCAAAUCUUUCUCCAGAAGAAACAAGAGUAUCUCCCAUUUCAUCCCUUAGUGGAUUAGUGGGCAAUGUCCUGUUAUCCCUGGCCGAGCACAUCCAAGAACUAAGAAAAAGAAAGAGUGUGAAUGAUGAGAAGAUGCUAGACACCAUGUUGGUAGCAGAAAUCGUGAUAUGGCCUGUUUGAAUUCUCCUUCUUUCUUUCACAUCCAUCAUCAGAGAAUGUUACUGCCCAACCUUGUACCAGCAGCAUUGUUACAUGAACAAGAAGCUGUGCCAAAAAGGCCUCUCUCUUGUUCACUUGAAGCAAAAGCUGUGCCAGAAAGGCCUCUUCGUAUAAAAAAGGCUGGGUUCUUAGGAACCGGCAAGUUUGCAGUUUCACUGCUAAGCAUCACAACAACAUUGGACAUGGUCGGACGGUCGGAUGGAUCAUCUUGUACGCAUAAGAGUGCAGCAUUUACACACCUCAGAAACUCAUUGGUGUUGCAAAUCUCACGUAAUGUCUCGUCCAUUAAAUCCAAUGCCUUGUCUUCUCUCCAUAAUCUCCAAGCCUGGAAUUUUGAAGUUUAAGUCAGCAUAGCUUAUCAAACGACAAAACAUUAUAUUAGCACGGUUGAACUUACAUAAGCUAGAAGGCUUUGGGCUUCAUCAGAAUUAAAAUAUCCCGUGUUCCUUUUCCCGCUGAGAAUCUCAAGUACAACGACGCCGAAACUAAAAACAUCAGAUUUGACAGAGAAUAGGCCAUCUAAUGCGUACUCUGGCGACAUGUAGCCACUGCAUUACAACAAUUUUCACAAGAAUCAGUAACUCAGCUGGAAACAGACAUUUAAUUCAGCAUUAAAAAUGACAUGAUUGUAGGAUUGGAGGCUGCAAAAAGAGAGUGUUUGCAUAUGAACAGCUAGUUUCAUGAUGCACAGUGUCAAUGCCAGGUCUGAACCAAUAUGGCUGAAAUGCAAAUGUAAUGUUAGUACAAGCUGAUAUCUAGCCGAGAACAUCAAUGCUAGUAAACUGGAGGGACCACAGAAACCACCUAGUUCUAUUAUUAGGCUGCAGAUUUUGGCGUGUCUGAGAAAAAGAGGGAUAGAAUUCAGUUAUCUGAAAAGUUAAGAUUACCAGAUGAAGUCUUGGUCUUCCAUUUUUGUCUCUUUCACCUUUUAUUAUUGGUCCAUAAAACCGGUAUGUAGUUUCGUUUGUUUUUAUUCUUGUCAUAAAUAAUAAUCUAGGUUCCUUUAAUGAAAAGUCAUUUUCUGAAAAAUAUUUUCUAAAUUUUUUCAUGUUUAUUAUUAAAAAAGUUGAUCAAUAAAAAAAAUUUUAAUUAAUAAAAAAUUAAAUUUGAUUUUUAGUAUUUUAGGUGGAAUACACUUUUUAGAAGCUACAAAAUAUUCAAAAAUAUCAUAAUAUAUAUAUAUUAUAUUAAAUUUGAUCAUCAAUUUAGUUCUUUGGAAUUUAAUUUGAUUUUUAUAUCAACUUUGAACUUAUUUUUCUUAUUGUCAUCUGUUUUUCUCUUAUCUUUUUUUUUGAAUUGAAAUUUUUUUUAUCCAUUAAAUUUGAUCAUCGUUCUUUUGAUUUCUAUUUAUUUUAUUUGAAAUAAUAUUUGACAUUAUAUUUUUUUUUAAUUUCAUCAUCUAUCAACUUUUUAUUUUUCGGAUUUAGUUUUUAUUAUUUUAAUUAUUAUUUAUUUUAUUUAAAAUAAUUUAUAAAAUUUAAAUAUUUUUUUUAAUUUCAUCAUCUUUCAACAUUUUUAUCUCCGUUAGAUUUGGUUCAUAUUCUUUUAAUAAACUUGAAAAAAAUUAAACAUUAAUAAAUUAUUUUUCAGUUUAUUUUUUAUAGUAUAGUCAAAUACUAGAAAGUAUUUUCUAAAUUAUUUUUUAUAACACUGCUAAAUAUUAGAAAAACUUAUAUUUUCUACAAAACAAACUAACAAGAUUUUUCUAGUAAAAUAACAAGUUCCAAUUCUACUUCAACGAUAAUUUGGUGAGAUGGAAAAUUAGAUCUUUAAAAUGGAAAAGAGAAAGAGCUCAUCUUAAAAUGCCUAAAUAGAUGUAUAUUUGUGUUGUUUAUGAUGUGAUAAUGCUCCAUCACAAACAAACAAACAAAAAAACUAAAAAUAUAUCUAGUUGAAUUAUUGCAAAAUUUACUUAGCAAUUAUAAGAGCCCAACAAUGAUAAUGAUGUUCAGGAGAUUUUUUGACUAUUAUAAGCCCUCAAUAUCAUAUUUUCGUCUUCUGUAUUUUUUCAAUUUGUACUCAGAUUAGUACACACUAGAUGUAUGGAAUUGUAGGCAGGAUCCAUUUUGUUUUAUUUUUUUUUGUAAAAAUAUGAUAUUGAGAUGUCAUAUGCGUGUUCUGAAGAAGGAAAAAAAAAUCUACAACGGGGUCAAAUAAACUAGUUUUUAUUUUAAUUAUAUAAUAAAAAAAUAAUAAUAGGCAAUGACACUAAAUAAACUAAAUAAAAAAAAUUGAUUAUGAUAACUUUUUUAAAAAAUUAUUUUUCAAAAAAAAAAAAUAUAACUCAAUUUUCAACAAAUUAAAUAUAGAAUAAUAAAUUUGAAUUAAAAAAAUAAAAAUAAACUAACUCGAAUCACUUCGAGUUAACAUAAUCAAUUGAAUUACAAAAAACAAAAACUACCAAGUCAAAUACUAAAUUAAACAAAUUUGAAUUGGUUAAAUUGAAAAAAUAAAUAAAUUGUGGGAUAAAAUAAAAGGAAUGAACUCUCCCUUGUCCAUACUUUUGUCCAUAAUGUUUACAUUGUUCAAAUUCAAUCUUUAUAGCUUUAAUUUAAAUCAAUAAAACUUUAUUUGAUUUCUGUAAAUCAAGUGUCAACCGAGCAACGAAUUUUUUUUUAUUGAUACGGUGAGAUCCCCUAGCCAAGACAAACAAAGUAUACCACAAAGUUUAAUCCCAAAAAUAAUAAAAUUAAAAACAAAAUUAAAGAAUAAUAAUAAAAAAAAAAAAAAAAACCUGAAGGACUAAGAAAAAAAACUCUAUUACAAUUCGUAGUGUUUUCUCUAUAGGUGAACAUUACUUUUGCCGGUAAGCCCACCAAGCCCCUGUUCAAAAAACUACAGAGCAUCUCCUUAAUCAUGUCUGGAUCAGACAUGGCCAACAACCUGGGCUCGACUCCAAACCGGUGGAGAAAUGUCUUCCUGCUCUUCCUUGACCAUUGAUAGGCGUCGGCUUGGACAAAUUGAUAUUAGGCUGAUAUCCUUGGACCUUCCGAAGAUUGGAUUGUAGGCAAGGCCAGUAUCUGUGCCUUUUUUAAAUGGUUUUGGAUUCUCCAUGGAACCCUUAAAACUGAGUGUAGGAAUUUCAAAAUGCAGAGUCUAAAGAAGAUCACAAAGAGAAGAAAAAAGCAUGGUGAAAGAAGGAUCGUGCAGUUGGCUUGAUUUGUGAGACGAGAUUGUUUUUACCAUCAUUAAAGUAAUGUGCAGCUGCAAUGGUUGGUGAAUUAUGAGGGGUGGUUGAAAAUUAUAUGAUGCUUUGUCUCCUUAAAGAGCUAUUGGGGAUUAUCUGGUGAUAAACUGUUAAAACCAUGGGCACCCUGUAUGGAUUAUGAUGCUCAAAAAGGGUUAAUGUCGCCUAUGAAGAAAUACUACUGUGUGGAAUCUGAUCAAGCGACUUGACACAGCCGUUGAAAGUUUUCAAAGUUUGCUAAGACUCUAAAUUUAAACGAAUUGAUAAUAACAACGUAGAACACUUGAAAGAAAAAUUGUUUACGGGGAAAUUACACAGAUACAAUAAUGAAGUUCUGAGAGGGUUUUGAUUACAAUUUCAUAACAGAACGACUAAUUAGACUUGAAUUCUGUCUUGGAAAAACAUGAGAUUUCACCAGGAAAAAAAAACCUUCCCAUUCAAAGAUUGAGAAACUUUCCAAGAUUUUAUGCAAAUUGAUAGGAAAUUAUCUACCUUCGUCUGAAGCAAUCGUUGUAUCGAUGUUUAUUUCUUGUUUACUUGAAGAUGAAGCUGUGCUAAACAGGCCUGUUCCUUGUUUACUUGAACCAGAAGCUAUGCCAGAAAGGCCUCUUCGUAUAAAAAAGGCUGGGUUCUUAGGAACCGGCAAGUUUGCAGUUUCACUGCUAAGCAUCACAACAACAUUCGACAUGGUCGGACGGUCGGAUGGAUCAUCUUGUACGCAUAAGAGUGCAGCAUUUACACACCUCAGAAACUCAUUGGUGUUGCAAAUCUCACGUAAUGUCUCGUCCAUUAAAUCCAAUGCCUUGUCUUCUCUCCAUAAUCUCCA